AUGAUUUUUUGUUACAGGACCAACUACUUCAUCUGUGAACUCAACAGUACAAAAGGAUUCAUCAGUUGGGUCUGUGUUUGUGCUGGUCUGGUGUUUUCAGCUGAUGGUUCUUUUGGGUUUGUUAGGAGGGUUUCACAUCUACAUGAGACACACGUCAGGAAAAAGUCAGGAAGAUUAUGAGAAUGAGAAGAUUUAGAGAACGACAUGAACACACAGCAGAAGAAUCAUGGGACCAGCAGCAGAUCAUCACAUCUAUGAGAAAUGACUUCAUAAUGUCACAGAUUCUCUCAUGAAUCCAGCUUUCACCUGUCGACAGCACGAGAUCCUACAGAAUAAUCCAGGAGACGUUUUCUACAGGUUUAGGUCUUCUUUAAUUAGAUUUUUUUUAACAAAUUUUUAAAUUAGAUUUUUUUUGUUUGUUUUGGAAACAGUUUGGUUGCUCAUUAUUCAUUUGUCUUUAUGCUUUGAAUGAACUAGCAAUAUUUUAUACCAUUACUUGAAACCUCUUCUGUUCAUGCAUGAUAUUUAUCUCUCUAAAUCAGAUCUGGCAGAUUGUGAAGUCAUUCUGUGUG
Long non-coding RNA from Cyprinus carpio (common carp), 572 nucleotides. RefSeq lists it as uncharacterized. Lineage: Eukaryota; Metazoa; Chordata; Actinopteri; Cypriniformes; Cyprinidae. The record is from RefSeq and is a predicted model, not a curated record. The transcript is spliced from 3 exons.